UUAAGCGACUAAGCGUACACGGUGGAUGCCCUGGCAGUCAGAGGCGAUGAAGGACGUGCUAAUCUGCGAAAAGCGCCGGCGAGGUGAUAUGAACCUUUGACCCGGCGAUGUCCGAAUGGGGAAACCCAGUGUGAUUCGUCACACUAUCGUUAACUGAAUACAUAGAUAGGUUAACGAGGCGAACCGGGGGAACUGAAACAUCUAAGUACCCCGAGGAAAAGAAAUCAACCGAGAUUCCCCCAGUAGCGGCGAGCGAACGGGGAGCAGCCCAGAGUCUGAAUCAGCUUGUGUGUUAGUGGAACGGUCUGGAAAGUCCGGCGAUACAGGGUGACAGCCCCGUACACGAAAGCACACAGGCUGUGAACUCGAAGAGUAGGGCGGGACACGUGGUAUCCUGUCUGAAUAUGGGGGGACCAUCCUCCAAGGCUAAAUACUCCUGACUGACCGAUAGUGAACCAGUACCGUGAGGGAAAGGCGAAAAGAACCCCGGCGAGGGGAGUGAAAAAGAACCUGAAACCGUGUACGUACAAGCAGUGGGAGCACCUUCGUGGUGUGACUGCGUACCUUUUGUAUAAUGGGUCAGCGACUUAUAUUCUGUAGCAAGGUUAACCGUAUAGGGGAGCCGAAGGGAAACCGAGUCUUAACUGGGCGUUAAGUUGCAGGGUAUAGACCCGAAACCCGGUGAUCUAGCCAUGGGCAGGUUGAAGGUUGGGUAACACUAACUGGAGGACCGAACCGACUAAUGUUGAAAAAUUAGCGGAUGACUUGUGGCUGGGGGUGAAAGGCCAAUCAAACCGGGAGAUAGCUGGUUCUCCCCGAAAGCUAUUUAGGUAGCGCCUCGUGAACUCAUCUUCGGGGGUAGAGCACUGUUUCGGCUAGGGGGCCAUCCCGGCUUACCAACCCGAUGCAAACUACGAAUACCGAAGAAUGUUAUCACGGGAGACACACGGCGGGUGCUAACGUCCGUCGUGAAGAGGGAAACAACCCAGACCGCCAGCUAAGGUCCCAAAGUCAUGGUUAAGUGGGAAACGAUGUGGGAAGGCACAGACAGCCAGGAUGUUGGCUUAGAAGCAGCCAUCAUUUAAAGAAAGCGUAAUAGCUCACUGGUCGAGUCGGCCUGCGCGGAAGAUGUAACGGGGCUAAACCAUGCACCGAAGCUGCGGCAGCGACACUAUGUGUUGUUGGGUAGGGGAGCGUUCUGUAAGCCGUUGAAGGUGUGCUGUGAGGCAUGCUGGAGGUAUCAGAAGUGCGAAUGCUGACAUAAGUAACGAUAAAGCGGGUGAAAAGCCCGCUCGCCGGAAGACCAAGGGUUCCUGUCCAACGUUAAUCGGGGCAGGGUGAGUCGACCCCUAAGGCGAGGCCGAAAGGCGUAGUCGAUGGGAAACAGGUUAAUAUUCCUGUACUUGGUGUUACUGCGAAGGGGGGACGGAGAAGGCUAUGUUAGCCGGGCGACGGUUGUCCCGGUUUAAGCAUGUAGGCGGAACGAUUAGGUAAAUCCGGUCGUUUAUUAACGCUGAGGUGUGAUGACGAGGCACUACGGUGCUGAAGUAACAAAUGCCCUGCUUCCAGGAAAAGCCUCUAAGCAUCAGGUAACAUCAAAUCGUACCCCAAACCGACACAGGUGGUCAGGUAGAGAAUACCAAGGCGCUUGAGAGAACUCGGGUGAAGGAACUAGGCAAAAUGGUGCCGUAACUUCGGGAGAAGGCACGCUGAUAUGUAGGUGAAGCCCCUGCGGGUGGAGCUGAAAUCAGUCGAAGAUACCAGCUGGCUGCAACUGUUUAUUAAAAACACAGCACUGUGCAAACACGAAAGUGGACGUAUACGGUGUGACGCCUGCCCGGUGCCGGAAGGUUAAUUGAUGGGGUUAGCGGCAACGCGAAGCUCUUGAUCGAAGCCCCGGUAAACGGCGGCCGUAACUAUAACGGUCCUAAGGUAGCGAAAUUCCUUGUCGGGUAAGUUCCGACCUGCACGAAUGGCGUAAUGAUGGCCAGGCUGUCUCCACCCGAGACUCAGUGAAAUUGAACUCGCUGUGAAGAUGCAGUGUACCCGCGGCAAGACGGAAAGACCCCGUGAACCUUUACUAUAGCUUGACACUGAACACUGGUCCUUGAUGUGUAGGAUAGGUGGGAGGCUUUGAAGCGUGGACGCCAGUCUGCGUGGAGCCGCCCUUGAAAUACCACCCUUUAAUGGCUGGUGUUCUAACGUAGACCCGUAAUCCGGGUUGCGGACAGUGUCUGGUGGGUAGUUUGACUGGGGCGGUCUCCUCCCAAAGAGUAACGGAGGAGCACGAAGGUUAGCUAAUCCUGGUCGGACAUCAGGAGGUUAGUGCAAUGGCAUAAGCUAGCUUGACUGCGAGAGUGACGGCUCGAGCAGGUGCGAAAGCAGGUCAUAGUGAUCCGGUGGUUCUGAAUGGAAGGGCCAUCGCUCAACGGAUAAAAGGUACUCCGGGGAUAACAGGCUGAUACCGCCCAAGAGUUCAUAUCGACGGCGGUGUUUGGCACCUCGAUGUCGGCUCAUCACAUCCUGGGGCUGAAGUAGGUCCCAAGGGUAUGGCUGUUCGCCAUUUAAAGUGGUACGCGAGCUGGGUUUAGAACGUCGUGAGACAGUUCGGUCCCUAUCUGCCGUGGGCGCUGGAGAAUUGAGGGGGGCUGCUCCUAGUACGAGAGGACCGGAGUGGACGCAUCACUGGUGUUCGGGUUGUCAUGCCAAUGGCACUGCCCGGUAGCUAAAUGCGGAAAAGAUAAGUGCUGAAAGCAUCUAAGCACGAAACUUGCCCCGAGAUGAGUUCUCCCUGACCCUUUAAGGGUCCUGAAGGAACGUUGAAGACGACGACGUUGAUAGGUCGGGUGUGUAAGCGCAGCGAUGCGUUGAGCUAACCGAUACUAAUGAACCGUGAGGCUUAACCUU
Molecule: ribosomal RNA, 2907 nt
Filed under: Enterobacter cloacae
Lineage: Bacteria; Pseudomonadati; Pseudomonadota; Gammaproteobacteria; Enterobacterales; Enterobacteriaceae
Description: bacterial LSU rRNA
Rfam family: Bacterial large subunit ribosomal RNA
Source: RNAcentral